UGCAAAGGGCGAGGCGGAUGUAACUGAAAGGCAGAAUUGUGUGAGGAAGAAUAAGAGAGAGAAAUAGGCAGUAUUCGAUAAAGUGUGAGAAAAGAAGGAAACAGAGAAUCAAAGUGAGACUAAAAAAGAGUGAUUUUAUAAGGAAAGAUAGUGAAAUAAAGGAAAAGUAAAGAAGGAUGGAGAGAAGCUAGAAAGUGUGAAAACAGGGGGUGGCCCUAAAACGUUAGGAAGACACACAUUAGUGACAGAAGGGGAGGAACCUGAGCUCAGUGGCUAUUAGGAGAGAACGUGUGUGUGUGUGUGUGUGUGUAUGUGUGUGUGUGUGUGUGUAAAAGAAAGAGAAGUGAAGCUUUCAGUGCCCACCCACACCUCCUUGUGGGUGUAAAGUGUCUGUGUUGUCGCUACUGCUGCUUGUCUGAGAAAGGAGAAAGCAGCUGUUAAAUUUGACUAAGCAGCUGUAAUUAGAGUCUCUUGAAGCUGUCUCUCCUCCCCUCCCCUCCCCCGCUCACUACUUGGCAGAAUCCCCGAACCAAGCGGGGCUUCAGAGCCGGAUCCCUCUGCCUCCAAGUGCCCGAUCAGCGUGAACUGGGGAAUAAACUGAUUGGAGCUGGGAAGACUGCAUGCUUCGGAAGGACGCGGGCGCGUCCGAGGAUCCCGUCUCUACCCAGCUGUGCCUAGACAAUAGAAGCUGUGAAGAGAUACAGUUACUGUGCUUGGCCACUCAACAGGAACAUUGCUGACGGAUCCCUGAAAUUGCUUUUAUUCAGUGCUGCUGUCAAUUGAGACAAGGCAAGUUAUUGGCAUUUUUGAGAUAUUUACAUUUGAGAGGAGCACUUGAAUAAUACAGCUGAGACUGAGAGACAGGGAUCAAUACCAGUGUUAUUUCUGCCAUAUGGAUUUAACUCUACAUAAACAGCAACUGGAAUAUUUGUAUAACCAAGGUAAUGCCUUUGCUUGUCCCCUCUGGUGGUGUGACCUCUAGAAAUCUCAGAAAGUUAAUCACUCCACCUAAGUCUAAGACUUAUCUUAGCUAGAUGCAUAUUUCCUACUUUAUUUUGGUUACUUAGAAAUUACUUGAUAAUGCCAACUUUAUUUAUCCCUCAAACUGGAAAGAUACAAUUUUUAGGGAGAAAUACUGAG
This 1140-nucleotide long non-coding RNA is filed under the name Phascolarctos cinereus (koala). RNAcentral's name for it is "lncRNA (ENSPCIG00000021885.2)". The record is from RNAcentral. Lineage: Eukaryota; Metazoa; Chordata; Mammalia; Diprotodontia; Phascolarctidae.